GUGAGUAAUGUCUGGGAAACUGCCUGAUGGAGGGGCAUAAAUACUGGAAACGGGAGCUAAUACCGCAUAACGUCGCAAGACCAAAGAGGGGGACCUUCGGGCCUCUUGCCAUCGGAUGUGCCCAGAUGGGAUUAGCUAGUAGGUGGGGUAACGGUUCACCUAGGCGACGAUCCCUAGCUGGUCUGAUAGGAUGACCAGCCACACUGGAACUGAGAUACGGCCCAGACUCCUACGGGAGGCAGCAGUGGGGAAUAUUGCACAAUGGGCGCAAGCCUGAUGCAGCGACGCCGCGUGAGGGAUGGAGGCCUUCGGGUUGUAAACCUCUUUUAUCGGGGAGCAAGCGAGAGUGAGUUUACCCGUUGAAUAAGCACCGGCUAACUACGUGCCAGCAGCCGCGGUAAUACGUAGGGUGCAAGCGUUAUCCGGAAUUAUUGGGCGUAAAGGGCUCGUAGGCGGUUCGUCGCGUCCGGUGUGAAAGUCCAUCGCUUAACGGUGGAUCCGCGCCGGGUACGGGCGGGCUUGAGUGCGGUAGGGGAGACUGGAAUUCCCGGUGUAACGGUGGAAUGUGUAGAUAUCGGGAAGAACACCAAUGGCGAAGGCAGGUCUCUGGGCCGUUACUGACGCUGAGGAGCGAAAGCGUGGGGAGCGAACAGGAUUAGAUACCCUGGUAGUCCACGCCGUAAACGGUGGAUGCUGGAUGUGGGGCCCGUUCCACGGGUUCCGUGUCGGAGCUAACGCGUUAAGCAUCCCGCCUGGGGAGUACGGCCGCAAGGCUAAAACUCAAAGAAAUUGACGGGGGCCCGCACAAGCGGCGGAGCAUGCGGAUUAAUUCGAUGCAACGCGAAGAACCUUACCUGGGCUUGACAUGUUCCCGACGGUCGUAGAGAUACGGCUUCCCUUCGGGGCGGGUUCACAGGUGGUGCAUGGUCGUCGUCAGCUCGUGUCGUGAGAUGUUGGGUUAAGUCCCGCAACGAGCGCAACCCUCGCCCCGUGUUGCCAGCGGAUUAUGCCGGGAACUCACGGGGGACCGCCGGGGUUAACUCGGAGGAAGGUGGGGAUGACGUCAGAUCAUCAUGCCCCUUACGUCCAGGGCUUCACGCAUGCUACAAUGGCCGGUACAACGGGAUGCGACGCGGCGACGCGGAGCGGAUCCCUGAAAACCGGUCUCAAUUGGGAUCGCAGUCUGCAACUCGACUGCGUGAAGGCGGAGUCGCUAGUAAUCGC
RNAcentral lists this ribosomal RNA (1224 nucleotides) under uncultured bacterium. RNAcentral describes it as "bacterial SSU rRNA". It matches the Rfam family "Bacterial small subunit ribosomal RNA", at positions 106 to 1345 of the family's 1533-position model. The record is from RNAcentral.